GUAUUUUAUUUAUUUCUAAAUGAAGUUAUUUGAUUUAGUUUAGCUUAGUUAAUUUUUGUCUGUUUUAGUUUAGAGCCUUCAGUUUAGCUGGAAAAAACAUCCCUUGCAGCCUGACAAAGGAAAGGCAGGGCAGGAGCGGUGCCGUGCCAGAAAGGGCCAGGGAAGAGCUGACAAGGGGUGGUGCUCAAUGCUACAGAGGACAGCAGCAAGUCCCGGGGCCACGCUGGGGCCACCCUGAGAGUGC
Neopsephotus bourkii (Bourke's parrot) is the source of this 244-nucleotide long non-coding RNA. RefSeq lists it as uncharacterized. NCBI's taxonomy places the organism in Eukaryota, Metazoa, Chordata, Aves, Psittaciformes, Psittacidae. The record is from RefSeq and is a predicted model, not a curated record. The transcript has 2 exons.